This 390-nucleotide ribosomal RNA is filed under the name Streptococcus sanguinis. RNAcentral's name for it is "bacterial SSU rRNA". It matches the Rfam family "Bacterial small subunit ribosomal RNA", at positions 1144 to 1533 of the family's 1533-position model. Lineage: Bacteria; Bacillati; Bacillota; Bacilli; Lactobacillales; Streptococcaceae. The record is from RNAcentral.
CGAGACUGCCGGUAAUAAACCGGAGGAAGGUGGGGAUGACGUCAAAUCAUCAUGCCCCUUAUGACCUGGGCUACACACGUGCUACAAUGGCUGGUACAACGAGUCGCAAGCCGGUGACGGCAAGCUAAUCUCUGAAAGCCAGUCUCAGUUCGGAUUGUAGGCUGCAACUCGCCUACAUGAAGUCGGAAUCGCUAGUAAUCGCGGAUCAGCACGCCGCGGUGAAUACGUUCCCGGGCCUUGUACACACCGCCCGUCACACCACGAGAGUUUGUAACACCCGAAGUCGGUGAGGUAACCGCAAGGAGCCAGCCGCCUAAGGUGGGAUAGAUGAUUGGGGUGAAGUCGUAACAAGGUAGCCGUAUCGGAAGGUGCGGCUGGAUCACCUCCUUU